Long non-coding RNA from Aquila chrysaetos chrysaetos, 546 nucleotides. RefSeq lists it as uncharacterized. The record is from RefSeq and is a predicted model, not a curated record. NCBI's taxonomy places the organism in Eukaryota, Metazoa, Chordata, Aves, Accipitriformes, Accipitridae. The transcript has 3 exons.
AAUCUGGAGCCCGGCUAUGCAGGUCAGUCAUUUGCAGCUCAUGAGUCAAAACAAGUCCGCUGCUCCAGCAUGGAUGCUGAUAAUCUUUGUGUCCAUUUUGGUAGAUACGCUAGCCUGACCAGAGCCAUCCACCAGAAUGAUUGACGUGAGCAGUUUCUUAGGGCGGCAAAACAGCCCUGCUUGCUUUGUCCCUGCCAGUGCCUUGGAAAGUCAACUUCUUGCUGCCGAGAAAGGCAGAGAGCUGUGGGAGCAGUAGAUAUUGUUUGACCAACAUGGGGAAACAUAUCCCCUCCAGUCCUAGUUCUGCAUGCAGUACCAGCAGAUGGGAAGACUGAAGUGUGGAGCGCCGACAACAAAUGAGUCCCUCACUGCUGUAGUCAAGAAAAGAGCCCAGACCACCCGAGUCACGUCUGUGCUUUCACCUUGACACACGGUGAUGGGCACUGCGUGAAGAGGUCCAAACUAGAAGCCUGGUUGCCCCAUGGCUAUUGCCUAUAGGCACCGGCAGGAGAGAGUGGUCCCUCAAGGGACAGCAGAGCCCACUGG